GACGAACGCUGGCGGCGUGCCUAAUACAUGCAAGUAGAACGCUGAAGAGAGGAGCUUGCUCUUCUUGGAUGAGUUGCGAACGGGUGAGUAACGCGUAGGUAACCUGCCUUGUAGCGGGGGAUAACUAUUGGAAACGAUAGCUAAUACCGCAUAACAAUGGAUGACACAUGUCAUUUAUUUGAAAGGGGCAAUUGCUCCACUACAAGAUGGACCUGCGUUGUAUUAGCUAGUAGGUGAGGUAAUGGCUCACCUAGGCGACGAUACAUAGCCGACCUGAGAGGGUGAGCGGCCACACUGGGACUGAGACACGGCCCAGACUCCGACGGGAGGCAGCAGUAGGGAAUCUUCGGCAAUAGGGGCAACCCUGACCGAGCAACGCCGCGUGAGUGAAGAAGGUUUUCGGAUCGUAAAGCUCUGUUGUAAGUCAAGAACGGGUGUGAGAGUGGAAAGUUCACACUGUGACGGUAGCUUACCAGAAAGGGACGGCUAACUACGUG
RNAcentral lists this ribosomal RNA (497 nucleotides) under uncultured bacterium. Its description in RNAcentral is "partial 16S ribosomal RNA". It matches the Rfam family "Bacterial small subunit ribosomal RNA", at positions 28 to 507 of the family's 1533-position model. The record is from RNAcentral.